GCCCAACAAACAAGUAGCACUACGCCCGUGCAGUCAUCCAGGUCGUCCCCGUCAACACGGACUCGCGCAGUCCUUGGCCUCCUUGUCAUCUCCUUCCCCCCCAGCACCUAAUCCCGCCGCCACCGCCCCGAAUCUCGGCCACAUGCCUGCGCCCUCUUGAUGGAGACGGAGACAGCGACGGCGCGUUGCCUCAUACCCCGGUGGCCGGGGCUGGAGGACGCCGUGGAUGGCGAUCUCCAUAGGCUGCUCGGUAGACAAGACCCGCACCUGGCCGUGUAAUCCUCCACGGGAUCCGUGGACGCCGCGACAUCUCCUUCCACCGAUUCCUCUUCCGUUGGUUCCACAUCCGCCGCCCAGGCUUGGCGCAGAUCCCACCGAUUCCUAUUCCGCUCGAAUUCUCCAUCCGCGUGACUCCCUUCGAUCUCAGAGGAAGAGGGAGGGAGGUGUUACGUGGUUGCUACGUCUUCCAGCGGAAUAACCCCCGUUGUACUUCGCUCGGCCUUCCUUCGUGGCGACGCUGCUUCCGGGGUUUCUCUGCGGACUUCCCUCCGCACAAUGUGACCUGCAUUGAGGCCGAGAUGGCGAGACCCUCACGCCUACCACUACUUGUUCCAUCCUCCUUGGAGUAGGGUUAGAGCUGCUGCAUAGGUAGUAUUCAUUCCGGUUCAGUCAAUUUCUACAGGCAAAUCUUGGCGUCUUAUGUGAUACUACUACAUUGAUUUGGGGAAUUCUUGAAAUGAGAAUACCUGAUGGCUGGCUGGCAGCCAGAUCAUUUAUGUGUAUAAAUGAUGCCAUGAUACUGUAUGCGGCAUUUUAUUGAGAGGGUGCGAACUGAAAGUGUGAAACAGUUGUUUACGUGUUCAUGUUCUUCAACAGUUAUUCUUCCGACUAUUAGAUGCUUUGCCGAAACAUUCAGUGAGUGAGAUCCAUGAGAAAUACUUAUGAUUAUAUCUUGAGGGAACACUUGUAUAUUGAUCUGCAUGGACUGAUAUUUUUUCUAUCUCAAACAUGACAAUGCCAUCUAUUCUUAAAGAGGACAUCUGGUAGAAAACAUCUUCAGCCAUGGGUUUUCUGCACAUAUAUUUUUCAGCAUCAAUGCUGCAGUGCUGGAGGCACUCAACUCAAAAUGGCAGGGUAGAAGGAAUAUGUGGAGUACGCUGAGGGACGGGCAGCUGGCUUUUAUACGCGGUUGACAGUUUCGACGAUGAUUGAUAUGAUGCCCUUGUAUAUGUACGAGGUAAGAGCAUUGGGUCGGAGAGUAGCUGGAGCAGGAAGGUAACAAGGCAACAUCCUUUCACUCUGAAGACCUCAGAAAAUAGGAAGGAGGAAGGAAAUUUUGGGGGAGAGGAUGAUGCUGCUGGAGGAGAGACUGCGCAACCUGCCCACGCAAGGUAUUCCGUGGACCACCGAUAAAUAGGAGGUACGUGAACUAUGAAUCACACCAGGUUCUCGGUUCAUUAUUCCCUUCUCACUUUACUACUAGAGCAAUGAGCAUGGUCACGAUGGUGUGCCACAUCAAGGUUAACUGCAAAACAUCAAGUUCUUCAGUGAAGUAUAAGACCAUGUUUUCUUGUAACCAAAAUUUGCAACUUUGUUCAAGUUCAACGUUACUUUAGUAUCCUUUUUCAGGAUGUAGAAUCUAGCAAGACCGCCAAUGAAAGAGCCCACUGAACCCAUAUGCAGUAACCUGAGGUUUUUCUUUGAUUCUAUGAAGGGAAUUAAUUUUGUUUUCUGCUUCUGAUGAUGUGAUUUUUGCAACGAGCACGAUGAUUGGGCGUGAGUAUUUCCCACCAAGAUUUCAAAAUUCAUUGAAAAUCUGUGGAUGGUAGCAAUCAAGGCUAGCAGAAAGUGGGCGUUCAGUAGUGAAGAGACGAAUUAAAUUAAACCUCAUUAUCCUUAAUGUUAAAACUAGCAAGGGUGAAAGUUUAUGGAGUUUUGGAAUAUACUAUUAGCAUGAUCCUUUUACAACAAAAAUUGAUUAAUAAUAUAUUCCAAUGAUCACUGCACAAGGAUUCGAAUUUUGACAUCGUCGACUUGCUCUAGCAGAAGGCAUGACAAGGGGACCGCUCUGGCAGACAUGCAUCUCCACUGACUUCAGGACCUCCCAAACGCCUAAGGUAGCUGGCCUUAAAAAAUAUUUUGUUGCUCAUUGUCUAUCCUAUGCUGAAAUUGAUCUUGCUCAUUGCAGCGCAUAUGCAUUUCUUCUAAAGUCGUUACAUCUUGUGCUAGAGCAGUAGUUACUGACGAUUCUUGUGAUGGUUCUCGUUAUGAAAGUUGUAUCUAUUAUCCUAUCUAGAGACAUUUCUUACUUGGAUCUUAAAUUAAAUCUCAUCGGUUCAUUUUGCUCUACAGUUUGUUCACCCAAACAUUACAGUCUCGUGUCAUUCAGUAUGUUGUACUGCAUUUUCUUAUGUGGAGUCAAGUGAUAGUGUUAAGGAGUAUUAGUAUUCAGCAAAUCUGGAGCAUUUUCGAAUUGCUUUCACAUAUUUUGAUUAUCUAUAUGGGACUAGCAUAUGUUGUGUUUAUCACUUAGCAAACCGGUUAAUAUUGUAAAGAAGAACCUCAAGUUUCAGAAAUAUGCAUGGAACACGGAAGUUCAUGGGACUAGCAUAUGGGACUAGCAUAUGCUGUGCAUCUUUCCACUAUAAGAACAAAUAUUCACUUCUGGAAUUGUAGUUACUCUCUUUUUCGGGUGUCAAGAAUAGAGGCUUACACAAUGGCCUUUCUUGCAUUGUUGUAGUGUGGACUUUAAUUUUGUUCACCAACCAAGGUGCGAGUAAAUGCUGGUGCAAUUUAAAAUGUUCUUUUUUGCAUUGCUACAGUAUAGAUCCAUCAUUGCUACAGUCUACUCUUUUUUAAUGCUUAGGUAUUUUAUAAAUUCUACUGUUUAGUGACCUGAAUGCUUUUAGGCAAUGAUAGAUGUACUUUAAUUUUCUUAGUUAACCAAAAAUUUCUGUCCCAUCCUUCUUCAAUUCAGUAACUUCGUGCCUAGGUGCGUCACGGCAAAACUGAAUUGUUUUUUCUCUGUUGUGGAGUUGAUGUUGGUUGGUGGUCUCUUUGGACCAUCAGAAAUGUCUCUUGGUUUUUGAAAAGAAAAUGGUGAGAAACCCAACUGACAGUCAUGAUUGUCCUCUUGACCUCCGUGAUGAUCUGACCAAGUUUACAUCACAUGCUUUGGACCGAACAAAAUUCUGAAUACAAUUCUUUUUUACAACAGCUGAUCCUGUCCUGAAAAUGUUGGCAGUUCCAUGGGGUUUGACUUCAAAGACACCAGCUAAUGUAUGUUGUCUCACCAGCCUGUAGACUCCUGCUAUCCCGAGCACACAAGUUUGUAGACUGCUGCUAUCCUGAGCACACAAGUUUGGAACUAGACCUCAACGAUAAACGAUACUGCCUGUAUGACUAUACCGAAACAACUCAAAAUCUCCAUGUGCAUGACAUGAAGUUCGUACUAUUUUGUUCAUACAUCUUUAUAGCUUCACAUCUAAGUUCAAAACCUCUUCUUUUGUUGCAUCUAUUUAAUUGUUUUCAAAUAAAAUUAUAUGUGUUAUAUUGUUAUCAAUGUCACUCAUAUGGCCUUGAGAAAAUAAAUAAAAUACUAGACUGCAAUAAUGAUUGAUUGUUUACUUCUAGACAUCCUUUUAUGUGGCAUUCAAAGACAUUUUCAUUUAUCAUAUAAGAGGGAUCGAGGCCUGGUUAGAAACCAAUUGCGUUUUUGUAGUCGGUCUGUUUGAAAUGGAUAAGGGACCAACCACUGAUAUGCUAAAUAUUAGUGGCUUAGUUAACAAUUCUUUAUUUUUUAAAUAGGUCUGAUACACCAAAAAAUUAUUAGUGGCAUAGUAUUCCAGUAUAAUUAAGCUAAAUGAAUGAAUUAUUAGGACGACAAAAUGUACCCUAAGCAAAGUAAAUCAACCAAUUUGGUAUCUUCUCCUUUUCCUGGAGAUAUUAGUAGUUGGUCUGCUUAAAUGGUUCUGUAAUGUGUUUCACCAUUUAAGUUUAGAAUGUUGACCUUCUAAAAAUAGGAGAGUACUAAUAUAUGCCAGGGAUACAGAUGAGGGCCAUAUAAAGUACUCUGAGAUUGAGCAAGCAUGUGGAUUUAAAAGGUCCGUUUUUUCUCUAAUCUUACAAAAUAUUUCCAAAACUUAUAAGGUAUAUUAAGGUAAAAUUAGCAACUAAUAGAUAUUAUGGCACCAUUGUCAUGUAUAUAGUUUAGCCAAUACAUAUAUUCACAGGCCUGGGUGAGUGGGUAUUGGAAGCUAAAACUAUGACAGGAAGUCAUAUGGGUGAACGUCUGUACAUACCUAGAAUUGUGCUGAAUGCACCAUCUACAAAAUGGCCUUUCACGCUGCUGCGCCAGGAAAGUACCCAAUCUGAUUUUGCUAUCCAAUGAUAAUUUACAAAAUUCAGGGUCCAAAGCUUGAUAAGGUUGGCAUCUAUUUGUCAAAGACUAUGUAUUUGCACGGGUUCACUCUACUGAAAGCACCAAGCUUCCUGCUCUUCUUGUGUUGGGAUUUUUGAUGCCAAACUGCUUAAGAUAGCUGAGUCUGAAGCGCAAGUUUUGCCAUUAGUCUAUGCUCAAACCUUUUGUCAUCUUCUGUUCUAUCUGUAUAAAUACAUGGAGCUGUUUCAUGUGUAAUGCUUCAGCUUGAGCAUGUUGAUUUGGCCCAGUAGGUGUGUCAACUAUUGAAUUUAUCUGUCAGCAUGAACAUGGUACGGCUGUUUUAUC
Molecule: non-coding RNA, 4726 nt
Organism: Lolium perenne
Lineage: Eukaryota; Viridiplantae; Streptophyta; Magnoliopsida; Poales; Poaceae
Source: RefSeq, a predicted model, not a curated record